This 204-nucleotide long non-coding RNA is filed under the name Olea europaea (common olive). RNAcentral describes it as "long non-coding RNA (OEUR_LNC004835)". Lineage: Eukaryota; Viridiplantae; Streptophyta; Magnoliopsida; Lamiales; Oleaceae. The record is from RNAcentral.
ACUUGGCUCGAUUUUCGACGCAUAAGAAUCAUUAAAAGCCUAUUGCUUAUCCUUCAUCUUUACAGGCAUCACUGUCGCAUCACAGGAAUGGAUAGGAGGUAAUAUCCCCCACAGUGAUUCUAUCAAGUCUUUACAAUUAGGUUGUCCCUUUGAACCUAGAUCUUGGGAUCUCCAGUCAACUAGGUUGGGUUUUCCUUUGUAUUA